CACGUAGGGGGCAAGCGUUGUCCGGAUUCAUUGGGCGUAAAGAGCUCGUAGGCGGUUUGGCAAGUCGGAUGUGAAAACUCCAGGCUCAACCUGGAGCCGCCAUUCGAUACUGCUAUGACUAGAGUCCGGUAGGGGAGUGUGGAAUUCCCGGUGUAGCGGUGAAAUGCGCAGAUAUCGGGAGGAACACCGAUGGCGAAGGCAGCACUCUGGGCCGGUACUGACGCUGAGGAGCGAAAGCGUGGGGAGCGAACAGG
RNAcentral lists this ribosomal RNA (254 nucleotides) under uncultured bacterium. Its description in RNAcentral is "partial 16S ribosomal RNA". It matches the Rfam family "Bacterial small subunit ribosomal RNA", at positions 524 to 776 of the family's 1533-position model. The record is from RNAcentral.